UGGGGAAUAUUGGACAAUGGGCGAAAGCCUGAUCCAGCAAUGCCGCGUGUGUGAAGAAGGCCUGAGGGUUGUAAAGCACUUUCAGCGGGGAGGAAGGACUUGCGGAUAAUACCCGUGAGUAUUGACGUUACCCAAAGAAGAAGCACCGGCUAACUCUGUGCCAGCAGCCGCGGUAAUACAGAGGGUGCAAGCGUUAAUCGGAAUUAUUGGGCGUAAAGAGUGCGUAGGUGGUUUAGUUAGUCGGAUGUGAAAGCCCUGGGCUCAACCUGGGAAUGGCAUCCGAUACUGCUAGGCUAGAGUAUGGGAGAGGGAAGUGGAAUUUCCGGUGUAGCGGUGAAAUGCGUAGAUAUCGGAAGGAACACCAGUGGCGAAGGCGACUUCCUGGCCUAAUACUGACACUGAGGCACGAAAGCGUGGGGAGCAAACAGG
Molecule: ribosomal RNA, 429 nt
Filed under: uncultured bacterium
Lineage: Bacteria
Description: bacterial SSU rRNA
Rfam family: Bacterial small subunit ribosomal RNA
Source: RNAcentral